This 253-nucleotide ribosomal RNA is filed under the name uncultured bacterium. RNAcentral's name for it is "partial 16S ribosomal RNA". It matches the Rfam family "Bacterial small subunit ribosomal RNA", at positions 524 to 776 of the family's 1533-position model. The record is from RNAcentral.
UACAGAGGUCUCAAGCGUUGUUCGGAUUCAUUGGGCGUAAAGGGUGCGUAGGCGGCGCGGUAAGUCGGGUGUGAAAUCUUGGAGCUUAACUCCGAAACUGCAUUCGAUACUGCCGUGCUUGAGGACUGGAGAGGAGACUGGAAUUUACGGUGUAGCAGUGAAAUGCGUAGAUAUCGUGAGGAAGACCAGUGGCGAAGGCGGAUCUCUGGACAGCUCCUGACGCUGAGGCGCGAAGGCUAGGGGAGCAAACGGG